UACGGAGGGUGCGAGCGUUGAUCGGAAUAACUGGGCGUAAAGGGCGCGCAGGCGGGUUGUUAAGUGAGAUGUGAAAUCCCCGGGCUUAACCUGGGAAGAGCAUUUGAGACUGGGAGACUAGAGUACUUUAGGGAGGGGUAGAAUUCCCGGUGUAGAGGUGAAAUUCGUAGAGAUGGGGAGGAAUACCGAAGGCGAAGGCAGCCCCUUGGGAAUAUACUGACGCUCAUGUGCGAAAGCGUGGGGAGCAAACAGG
This 253-nucleotide ribosomal RNA is filed under the name uncultured bacterium. RNAcentral describes it as "partial 16S ribosomal RNA". It matches the Rfam family "Bacterial small subunit ribosomal RNA", at positions 524 to 776 of the family's 1533-position model. The record is from RNAcentral.